CUGCGGCAGCGACACUGUGUGUUGUUGGGUAGGGGAGCGUUCUGUAAGCCUGUGAAGGUGUGUCGUGAGGCAUGCUGGAGGUAUCAGAAGUGCGAAUGCUGACAUAAGUAACGAUAAAGCGGGUGAAAAGCCCGCUCGCCGGAAGACCAAGGGUUCCUGUCCAACGUUAAUCGGGGCAGGGUGAGUCGACCCCUAAGGCGAGGCCGAAAGGCGUAGUCGAUGGGAAACGGGUUAAUAUUCCCGUACUUGGUGUUACUGCGAAGGGGGGACGGAGAAGGCUAUGUUGGCCGGGCGACGGUUGUCCCGGUUUAAGCGUGUAGGUGUGUGUUCCAGGUAAAUCCGGUUCACUUUAACACUGAGGCGUGACGACGAGGCACUACGGUGCUGAAGCAACAAAUGCCCUGCUUCCAGGAAAAGCCUCUAAGCAUCAGGUAACAUCAAAUCGUACCCCAAACCGACACAGGUGGUCAGGUAGAGAAUACCAAGGCGCUUGAGAGAACUCGGGUGAAGGAACUAGGCAAAAUGGUGCCGUAACUUCGGGAGAAGGCACGCUGACACGUAGGUGAAGUGAUUUACUCAUGGAGCUGAAGUCAGUCGAAGAUACCAGCUGGCUGCAACUGUUUAUUAAAAACACAGCACUGUGCAAACACGAAAGUGGACGUAUACGGUGUGACGCCUGCCCGGUGCCGGAAGGUUAAUUGAUGGGGUCAGCGCAAGCGAAGCUCCUGAUCGAAGCCCCGGUAAACGGCGGCCGUAACUAUAACGGUCCUAAGGUAGCGAAAUUCCUUGUCGGGUAAGUUCCGACCUGCACGAAUGGCGUAAUGAUGGCCAGGCUGUCUCCACCCGAGACUCAGUGAAAUUGAACUCGCUGUGAAGAUGCAGUGUACCCGCGGCAAGACGGAAAGACCCCGUGAACCUUUACUAUAGCUUGACACUGAACAUUGAGCCUUGAUGUGUAGGAUAGGUGGGAGGCUUUGAAGUGUGGACGCCAGUCUGCAUGGAGCCGACCUUGAAAUACCACCCUUUAAUGUUUGAUGUUCUAACGUGGACCCGUUACCCGGGUUGCGGACAGUGUCUGGUGGGUAGUUUGACUGGGGCGGUCUCCUCCUAAAGAGUAACGGAGGAGCACGAAGGUUGGCUAAUCCUGGUCGGACAUCAGGAGGUUAGUGCAAUGGCAUAAGCCAGCUUGACUGCGAGCGUGACGGCGCGAGCAGGUGCGAAAGCAGGUCAUAGUGAUCCGGUGGUUCUGAAUGGAAGGGCCAUCGCUCAACGGAUAAAAGGUACUCCGGGGAUAACAGGCUGAUACCGCCCAAGAGUUCAUAUCGACGGCGGUGUUUGGCACCUCGAUGUCGGCUCAUCACAUCCUGG
RNAcentral lists this ribosomal RNA (1368 nucleotides) under Salmonella enterica. Its description in RNAcentral is "partial 23S ribosomal RNA". It matches the Rfam family "Bacterial large subunit ribosomal RNA", at positions 1200 to 2550 of the family's 2925-position model. The record is from RNAcentral. Lineage: Bacteria; Pseudomonadati; Pseudomonadota; Gammaproteobacteria; Enterobacterales; Enterobacteriaceae.